This 1105-nucleotide long non-coding RNA is filed under the name Salvator merianae (Argentine black and white tegu). Its description in RNAcentral is "lncRNA (ENSSMRG00000017316.1)". The record is from RNAcentral. Lineage: Eukaryota; Metazoa; Chordata; Lepidosauria; Squamata; Teiidae.
CUGGCAUCAAGGAGAACAGACAGCACAAGAGAGACCUGAAGCCUGACGCUUUGGACUCAUUCAAGCUGCNCCUGCUACAGACACACUCAGUCAUGGCUCCCCGAAUAAGGCUGAACAUUGCCAAACCUCUUCCGACCAUAAACGAAGCUCUUGAGGAUAUCUUUGAAGAUGUAGCAAGCAACAUGAAAGGUUCUGGAAAUGCUUACAUGAAUCCAAAUUUUUAUUCAAGCGACGACUACCAUCAGUCUAUCUGUCAGCUGGCAAGACCUACCUUUCCAGGGCUGUCAGAAAAUAAGAUUGAGUGCCAAGAUGUAGACAAAGUGGCAAGGCUACAUGGCAGUCCCAGCAUCUUCAGCUUGGAUGGAGCCAGCAGAAUGGUCUCUUGGGAUGAAGUAACCAAUACUCUUCCCAAUUUCAGUUUAUCAGGCAGAAAGAACUUCAUUCUGGACUAUAUCCAAACUUCCUCCAGCUCUAAAGUGGAUCCUUUGGAAGAUCUGUAUACAGAAGCUCACAGAACUCAACAGUCACAGUGUCCUAACUGCAGAGAGAACUCUCAUGUUGACUGUCCACAGGAGAACUUCCAAGAAUCCUGUCUAUGUGCACCUCAAGAAGAUGAUAAAGAAAAAGAAGGUAUGGGCAGCUUCCCCAGGNUCCCCUUCCUAAGACCAAUGAAGAAAGAAAAUAGCUGUUCAGAGCUGAAAGCUCUGAAAAACCACAUCAGGAUGUCGACUCUCAAACAUGGUCCAAACCAGAAGGAAAACGUCCCUCUUGUUGUUCAUGGUAAAUCAGUCUGGCUACAUUCAGAUGAAGAAGUUCUAGUGGAUGGCAAGAUUUUGAAGUCUCCACCCAGAGGGCAGCCACUUCCAAGGGAAGCCUGCACUGAAAGGGAGGGACUGAAACCUGCUGUUUGUAAUCAAAAUGCAAAAGGAAAGCAAGAUGUGGGUUUUCCAGAAGCUGCAAUACUGCAUUUACUUAUGGAGACUUAUUUAUAAAGGACAUUUUCAGUGUGAAUGGUUCCUUCCCUACUACUGUUCUUAAUAUUUUUUAUUUAUUUCUAUUGUGUUUUAUUUGGUCUAAAUUUUUAAACUGAAUUAAAGAGCUUGGU